UGCAAGUCGAACGCGAAAGGGACUUCGGUCCGUGAGUAAAGUGGCGCACGGGUGAGUAACGCGUAGAUAACCUGUCUUCAUGUCUGGAAUAAUACGCCGAAAGGGGUACUAAUACCGGAUAUUCUUGCUUUUCAUAAGUUAUGCAAGCAAAGGUGGCCUCUGCAUAUGCUACUGCAUGAAGAGGGGUCUGCGUACCAUUAGCUAGUAGGUGGGGUAAUGGCCUACCUAGGCGACGAUGGUUAGCGGGUCUGAGAGGAUGAUCCGCCACACUGGCACUGGAACACGGGCCAGACUCCUACGGGAGGCAGCAGUGAGGAAUAUUGCGCAAUGGGGGAAACCCUGACGCAGCGACGCCGCGUGAGUGAGGAAGGCCUUCGGGUCGUAAAGCUCUGUCAAGAGGAAAGAAGCGUACAAUGGCUAAUACCUGUUGUAUUUGACGGUACCUCUAAAGGAAGCACCGGCUAACUCCGUGCCAGCCGCCGC
Molecule: ribosomal RNA, 483 nt
Filed under: uncultured bacterium
Lineage: Bacteria
Description: bacterial SSU rRNA
Rfam family: Bacterial small subunit ribosomal RNA
Source: RNAcentral